ACGAAACAACACGGAGUCCCGCGUCGCUCUGCUCAACUCUUUUCCGUGCGAGUAUCUUUUCACUUUGUGGUAGUUUUUACUCGUUUAUACACUAAUGAGCCAGCGUUAGCUUAAACAUGUAACGGUAGCUCUGGAAGCACGGAGGAAAUGAAACGUAAGCUGCAGCUGCGCUGUAGAGAAGGACAAGCAUGGUUGAUAUAUGACCAAAGUCUGAAAUUAACUAAGUUUUUUUCUAUCUGAUGUUGGUGUGACGUGGAACAGGGCCUAACUCCUUGAGGACCUCGUAUUGUUUUGAAGUUACAUGCUGACUUCCAACGCAUUACAACCAUCCCACUGGAAUCUACCUUCAUGGCACAGUUGGAGAGCCAUUUUGCCCAACUGACGUCUAUCUUCCAGACCAAGGGUGGAGUUGCUGGCCAGAAACUAGCUAAACAUCUAAAGAUCCUGCAAUAGGAGACAAGUGAUGUCAACCUUAAAUCCUUAUGCUGUGUUCACACCAAAAGCGGUGCACAUUUUUUGUGCAAGUAGAUCCCAUGCAAAGUCAAUGUACAGACGUGAUUUUUCGCCGGGCGGCGCAAAAAAUUCGCCAGAGUUGAAAUAUUUUAACUGCGAAUAUUCGCAACGUUUUUGGUGUGACCGCAGCAUAAAGGCUCUUUGCAUCCACCUGGGUGAGGAUGAGGGACAGCUUGUUCGGGAGUAUAUGGAUAUCGAAGGAGACGACAUCCUGAGAGACCUGCAAAAGUGGAGCAUGCGCAUAUGUCAUCAACAAGGAGGAGAAAUGGGACAUUGUGAUGACGUUGAAGGACUAAUCAUCCUCGACAACUGGAUCUGUGGCCCGAGCUUGUGCAAAGAUUCUGGGAGUAAUCUAUGCUCUGAUCAUGGCUUACCCCAAAGAGCUAAGAUACUACUAUGAAUUCAUUCAGAAAGUGCUCUUUCGAAUGCAUGGUGAAAAUAUUUCCCCCCAAAUCCUUGAGCUAAAGAACAAAUAACAACAUAUAUGCUGGACUGUAGGAAAUCUUCAGCCGCUCUUGUAAACUGGUGCCAUUAAAGCAUGGCAAAAGAAGAGCACGAGUCGACGUAAUCAAAAAAGCACCAGUCAAACAUCAAACUGGGGAAACGAUGUGGCACACUGAAAAUAUGAUGUUUGUUUCAUUUAUUCAAUCUAUUUUAUAUAACCCAAUAUCACAAAUUACGAAUUUGCCUCAGAGGGCUUUACAAUCUGUACACAUACGACAUUUAUUGAUGUGACAGUCUCGGUUAUAUAUUUGUUUACAUCCAGUUGUGAAAAAGAAUGUGGAAAUAUGUCAUUUCUUGCUGUUUGUUUCAUGUAACAAUGUGUGGAAGGUUAGUUUCCCAUUGCUCCACAGAUCUGUUCUGAUGUUUUCAUUGUCAUGGUUCAUUUAUAGUGGAGUAGAGGCUGAUUGGUAUGUGAAUUACAUGUAAGAAUACUUCCAUUGGUAUGUUUUUUUUUGGUUUUUUUUUGUUGUUGCUAUGAAAGGCACUGUAAGAUGUUUUUUAUGCUACACUGUGUUUAAGUGAAUGGUGUUAUUACAUUGUGUUUCAA
Long non-coding RNA from Cyclopterus lumpus (lumpfish), 1564 nucleotides. RefSeq lists it as uncharacterized. The record is from RefSeq and is a predicted model, not a curated record. Lineage: Eukaryota; Metazoa; Chordata; Actinopteri; Perciformes; Cyclopteridae. The transcript has 5 exons.